CUGCUGCAAUGCGGCCCAUGCUUUCCCAUGGGAGGAUACCAACCCAACAGAAUAGACCUGCACAAGCUUUCUGGUAUUUUACAUACACGCUGCAGGAUACGGAAUCGUGACAUCAAAGGGUUAAUGUGAAUGAAAACGAUUGCUCUCGUUCUACUUGAACUGAUUACGUUUUGAAUUUUGAUACUGUGAAGCUGCAGAUUUAUCUUGAGACAACUGUUAGGGGGUUUUAAGUAACUCCGUAUCUUAAAUCAGAGCGGCGGAAAGAUAAAAGUUCUCCCAAAGGCUGCUGGAACCCAAUCAGCCAACAGGGACGCAAGGGAUCCUUUAUUGAAGCGUUGGUAAGCAGUGCUUGUUUGCUAUUUUGUUGGGUUUUUUUUUUUGCGUGUGUGCUAACACAGCUCCACGCUUCCCUUGGAUAAGCAGGAACAGCAAUUUUGCUUUGACUUUUACCUGCCUCAUUCGCACUCCUGCUAAGGCUCUAAACUUACAAUCGCCCUGAAGACCCUUUACUUUGUUUCAGUAGCAGUAAUCUGUUGUCAGCGCGACUUAGGUGAAGGCUGGACCCUGCAGUCCUGCCUCAGGAAAUCUCCCAACUCUUUCUUGAAGAAACUUGUUGUUAAGUUGUAUCAUGAAAAGCUGUUGUGACUGCACAGUAGGUAUUAAACCAAACCCUCAGUGUUUUUUGUUUUCUUUCCAGCCUUUUCAAUUACGAGGAGAACCAUUUAACUUUCUAGUAAACAAAAUUAGGCAUUUUUAUGUGGAAUGAGGGGGAAAAAAGUGAGAGAAAAGGGUUUAUUUAAUUUACAGAAAGAUGCAGACACAGGAAUGGUGGAAUCAAUCCAGAGUGAGGAACUCGUCAACCAGGCUGGAGGGGGCCCUGGGCAUCCUGGUCUAACAUUAGAUAUGGAGGUUGGCGGACUUGCAUGUGGCAGGGCGGUUGGAGCUUCAUGAUCCCUGAGGUCCCAUCCAACUCAAGCCACUCUAUGAUUCUAUGAUGAUUCUAUGGUUGUGCAAGCCAGUGAUUGCUGCUUACUUCUUUGUGUAGUGCUGGGCGUACUUCCUGAAGGGGAAGAAGAGAAGGCAUAGCAUUCAGAAGCUGAAGUAGUACCAAAAUGUAUCAAGAUGUGCAUUUGUUCCAUCCUCGGCUGACAGAGCUAUUUAGUUAUGCCCUCAACUAUGUUGAGUUCUUUGCUCUCCUCUAGGCUAUUAUGGUCCCACACAUAGGAAAGACAACUUACGUUAGGGAAUUACUUAAUGUCUCUUUUUGCGUGACUGGACGCAGUCAGAGCCACGAUUUGAAUAUUUUAAAAUCACAAUUUAGUAAGAAUUUGCCAAAAAGAAGUCUCUCUUCCCAUUUCUUAAGGCUGAACGAGUUGGAGCUCAGAUAAAAAUUUGAAAGGAGCUUCAAUCUGAUGGGCAAGUUCAGUGUUCCAGCAUUUGCUGCAAUCCCCAAACAUCACAUUGUUUGCAAACAUGGAAACUUUCCAUGGAACAAAAUCUUUUCAGGAUUGUUGAUCCAGGGCCCUGGACAUGUUUCUUUGGACAUUUCUAAUCCAAGAAGGGUAUUUCACACAGAGGGGAAAGAAAGUUCUCCUUGUGUGAGAUGCUGUCUGGGCAGGUCCCUCAAUUCCAGCUGGGCAAAAAGGGAAAUGCAGUUCAGUUCCUGGCGAGGUAACUCAGGCAAAUAAACAUAAAUUAAUGUUAGCUUGGUCCAAAACAAAGCUUCACAGCCAGAUUCCAGUGGUAAACAUGAGGCUGAACACAUUGCUUCUCACUCAAUGCUUGGCAUUGUCCUCACCGCUAAGAGAAGAGCGGCACUUGGAUGGGCGCAUCUCCAGUGGGGUGGGAUGUGCCCCUCCCCGUGCCCAUGGAACAUGGGCUGGGGGUCACGGUGGGAGAAGCUGCAAUGAGGCAGGGGUGCCCUGCCUGCAUUCACGUCAUAUCACAUGUACCUACGUGCCUUUGUUCAGCCAGCGAGAGCAGACAGCAAUUCUACGAAGAACAGACCCAACCACUCCAGAUGCACUUCACUUCUAAGUGGCUGCCCAUGCCAUGCUGGCAAAUUAAAUGGAAAACAACAUUUAUUCCACCUCUUAUCUGCAGAUAAUGGUGGAACGUUGCAGGGUUUUUUUAGCCUCUUUCCAGUACCUGUGCUUAUUUGUCGAACAUUUUAUAGCUCCAUCGGAAGCAUUAUCCUGCUGACUGUAGGAGGUAUUUGCAGUGCAGCACAACAUAAUCCUCCCCUUGGAGAUUAAGACUAUUACCUCAUUGAUGCUCCCGGUCUCUGCCAGCCUUGGCAUACCAGAGUGCAGCGUGAAUGCAGGUCUGCAGCAUAAUAGCUCACUAUGCUACCAGCUAAGCCACUGAAUGCUUCUACAGUCAUGCCUUUUAUUGCCAGAGUGACAUGACAGUAAUAAUGGAUAAUGAAUUCUGUUAAUGAGAUGACUUAUUUCAAAAGUAAAUAAAGCUCAGGUGUCAC
Molecule: long non-coding RNA, 2479 nt
Organism: Gallus gallus (chicken)
Lineage: Eukaryota; Metazoa; Chordata; Aves; Galliformes; Phasianidae
Source: Ensembl